Molecule: long non-coding RNA, 1396 nt
Filed under: Rattus norvegicus (Norway rat)
Lineage: Eukaryota; Metazoa; Chordata; Mammalia; Rodentia; Muridae
Source: RNAcentral
AAGACAACUUUGUGUGGUCAGAUCCCUACUUCCGCCUAUUAUAAAGGAUCCAGUGAUGGAACUCUGGGGUGCAGGGUAAGUCCCUUGACACUCUGAGCCAUCUCCCUGGCCUCUAGAAUGAUGUUCUUAUCCUACAAACGUGUAAAGUACUCUAGCUGUGGGACGGCUGUCUUUGGGGUCUCGGUGACCCUUCUGCCCACAUAACCCCCUGUUGCUGGGGUCAGGACCGUUUAUUGAAAGAACUAAGAAAUUGGAGGUUGCUGAACCCUGUGACCGUUGUCUGCAAAGUUCCUUGCCUACUAAGAGGCUGAGAUAAGAGGAUCUGUUGAACUCAAGAUUUCUAAAUAAACCUGGGCCAUACAGCAAGAUCUUUUAAAGAGGAGAAACAGAAAGUAUGAGGAUAUAGGUCAGUAGUAGGUCGCUUUCCGAGUGUAAGCGACGUCUGAGUUCCACCCCCAUGCAUACAGACAGUAAUAAAAGAGAGUGUUCUGUCAGUGAUGAUCGCCCAUGGGUAGAGCGCUUGCACAUCUGGGGACGGUGCAGAAGAAUAAGCAGGCUAGUUGUUUGCUUUGCCCUCUCCAUUUUAUAUAUUGCUUGGCAUGUACUUCCCCUUAGAACAGAGCCCCAGACAUGGUCGGUGCUCACACUGGUAGCACGGGGAUCCAGAUCCUGGCCAGCAGGACUCAGUGGCCCUCUAUCUAAUCUGUAGUCUUGGACCUGCGCUGGGUUGGUGGUACCCUCGAGCACACCAGACUUGCAGAAAAAGCAUACUCCAGAGGAAGCUGAGGCAUGCCUGCUCGAGAGCCAGCGGUUCCAUGUGCAAUUUUCCUCUGAUAAAUCCUGGGUACUGUUGCCACGGUGAUAAUGACUGUGCCGUGUCAUUGUCGAUCCACCAACAGUCAGAGAAGCUUUGCAGUCAAGAUAUUGUUUAGCAGACGGAGCGGUUUCUGUUGGACACUAAGUGCUGCUACAAGACCUCGAGUUACUAACGGUGUUGCUGGAAGUGGCCCGUUUGCACCUGGGGAGUGAAUGUAAAAAUCAGAGAGUGUACACACAUGACCCGUGGAGCCCGCUAGGUCGAGGCUCCGCUGGAAACCCGAGCCACGGGGAAACUGAAGACAGAUGGGAACCGCCUAGCGGAUUCCUUGUCGUUGUGUUGAGUCCUGUUCCUUUUCUGAUGGCAAGCCCCAAACUAAAACCUUGUUCUUUCACAGAUUCCAGACACCGUACAAAGAUGUUUGCAAGAAAAGCAGAGGUAAAAAUAGCUGCUCCAAAAGUCAGACACCUGUGUGGGUUAAGUCACCCCAGCAUCCGGGAGCUUUUAUUCAUUCUUACAUUGCUGUAAGUAGUUUUAAAUAAAUAAAUAAAUAAAUAAAUAAAUAAAUAAAUAAAGGAA